AUUGAACGCUGGCGGCAGGCCUAACACAUGCAAGUCGAGCGGAUGAAGGGAGCUUGCUCCUGGAUUCAGCGGCGGACGGGUGAGUAAUGCCUAGGAAUCUGCCUGGUAGUGGGGGAUAACGUCCGGAAACGGGCGCUAAUACCGCAUACGUCCUGAGGGAGAAAGUGGGGGAUCUUCGGACCUCACGCUAUCAGAUGAGCCUAGGUCGGAUUAGCUAGUUGGUGGGGUAAAGGCCUACCAAGGCGACGAUCCGUAACUGGUCUGAGAGGAUGAUCAGUCACACUGGAACUGAGACACGGUCCAGACUCCUACGGGAGGCAGCAGUGGGGAAUCUUCGACAAUGGGCGAAAGCCUGAUCCAGCCACGCCGCGUGUGUGAAGAAGGUCUUCGGAUUGUAAAGCUCUUUAAGUUGGGAGGAAGGGCAGUAAGUUAAUACCUUGCUGUCUUGACGUUACCAACAGAAUAAGCACCGGCUAACUUCGUG
Molecule: ribosomal RNA, 484 nt
Filed under: uncultured bacterium
Lineage: Bacteria
Description: partial 16S ribosomal RNA
Rfam family: Bacterial small subunit ribosomal RNA
Source: RNAcentral